AUGGCAGGUCAUGGAUAAAUCAUCAAACCUCAUCAUCAGUCAGAUGAUUGAUUUAAUCAACUCGAGUCCAUGCAUGAUUCUUAUAGAAAUUCUUUUCUAUUAAUCACACUGCUAUGGUCAUAGACUUAAAGACUCAGCUUCAUAAAUCUCAUAGGACUACUCUCUUCUAUUAGGAUCGAUAGAUCCCAUCUAGGUGUACACCCUACUCCUAUAGUAGACCAACUAUUAUCAACAUCCACUAUAAGG
This 246-nucleotide long non-coding RNA is filed under the name Elaeis guineensis (African oil palm). Its description in RNAcentral is "long non-coding RNA (EGUI_LNC028605)". Lineage: Eukaryota; Viridiplantae; Streptophyta; Magnoliopsida; Arecales; Arecaceae. The record is from RNAcentral.